AGAGUUUGAUCAUGGCUCAGGAUGAACGCUAGCGGCAGGCUUAACACAUGCAAGUCGAGGGGUAUAGUAGCAAUACUAGAGACCGGCGCACGGGUGCGUAACGCGUAUACAAUCUACCUUUUACAGAGGGAUAGCCCAGAGAAAUUUGGAUUAAUACCUCAUAGUGUUAUAGAAUGGCAUCAUUUUAUAACUAAAGUUCCAACGGUAAAAGAUGAGCAUGCGUCCUAUUAGCUAGAUGGUAAGGUAACGGCUUACCAUGGCUACGAUAGGUAGGGGUCCUGAGAGGGAGAUCCCCCACACUGGUACUGAGACACGGACCAGACUCCUACGGGAGGCAGCAGUGAGGAAUAUUGGACAAUGGGCGCAAGCCUGAUCCAGCCAUGCCGCGUGCAGGAAGAAGCAUCUAUGGUGUGUAAACUGCUUUUGUACAGGAAGAAACAUCCCGACGUGUCGGGACUUGACGGUACUGUAAGAAUAAGGAUCGGCUAACUCCGUGCCAGCAGCCGCGGUAAUACGGAGGAUCCAAGCGUUAUCCGGAAUCAUUGGGUUUAAAGGGUCCGUAGGCGGUUUGAUAAGUCAGUGGUGAAAGCCCAUCGCUCAACGAUGGAACGGCCAUUGAUACUGUCAGACUUGAAUUACUAGGAAGUAACUAGAAUAUGUAGUGUAGCGGUGAAAUGCUUAGAUAUUACAUGGAAUACCAAUUGCGAAGGCAGGUUACUACUAGUGGAUUGACGCUGAUGGACGAAAGCGUGGGGAGCGAACAGGAUUAGAUACCCUGGUAGUCCACGCCGUAAACGAUGGAUACUAGCUGUUCGGAGCAAUCUGAGUGGCUAAGCGAAAGUGAUAAGUAUCCCACCUGGGGAGUACGUUCGCAAGAAUGAACUCAAGGAAUUGACGGGGGCCCGCACAAGCGGUGGAGCAUG
RNAcentral lists this ribosomal RNA (923 nucleotides) under uncultured bacterium. RNAcentral describes it as "bacterial SSU rRNA". It matches the Rfam family "Bacterial small subunit ribosomal RNA", at positions 8 to 941 of the family's 1533-position model. The record is from RNAcentral.